Non-coding RNA from Plutella xylostella (diamondback moth), 326 nucleotides. NCBI's taxonomy places the organism in Eukaryota, Metazoa, Arthropoda, Insecta, Lepidoptera, Plutellidae. The record is from RefSeq and is a predicted model, not a curated record.
UAUGAACAUAUUAUGGGACAAUUAAUAUUCCUGGCCGAGUCCCCAAGCCUAAGAAAAAAUCCACCUACACUAGGUUACCCUAGGAAAUUCAAUCAUAAAUAAACUUUUUUUCACUUUCUUACACCUAAGAUCAUUUGAAUGGCUGUGUAUUUGUAUCGGAGUGCAGGAAGGAGAGCGGGACGGAUAAAAUGACCAAGUCUUUCGGAUGAGAGUCCUGGAGAGAAGCGCGUGUAUUUAUUGUGACGCCACUGAGUUACCGGCGACAUACGUAUAACAUUUCAGACUCAAUGGCGUAAACAGCGGCUGAAAAACAACGGCUUUAUAGG